CUGGCGGCGUGCCUAACACAUGCAAGUCAACUUGACUGAAGGAGCAAUCUGACAGUAGAGUGGCGCAAGGGUGCGUAACGCGUAAGUAACUUGCCCCAAGGUAAGGAAUAACGUCGAGAAAUCGGCGCUAAUACCUCAUAAUGCAGCGGAUCCGCAUGGAUAUGUUGUUAAAGGUUUACCGCCUUGGGAUAGGCUUGCGUCUGAUUAGCUAGUUGGUGUGGUAACGGCACACCAAGGCUACGAUCAGUAACUGGUCUGAGAGGAUGAUCAGUCACACUGGAACUGAGACACGGUCCAGACUCCUACGGGAGGCAGCAGUGAGGAAUAUUGGGCAAUGCUCGAAAGAGUGACCCAGCAACGCCGCGUGGAGGAUGAAGGUAUUCUAUAUCGUAAACUCCUGUGAGAGCAGACGAAAGACAGAUUAUUAAUCUGGAUGACUGUAUGCUCAGAGGAAGCCCCGGCUAACUACGUG
RNAcentral lists this ribosomal RNA (472 nucleotides) under uncultured bacterium. RNAcentral's name for it is "bacterial SSU rRNA". It matches the Rfam family "Bacterial small subunit ribosomal RNA", at positions 36 to 507 of the family's 1533-position model. The record is from RNAcentral.